RNAcentral lists this ribosomal RNA (233 nucleotides) under uncultured bacterium. RNAcentral describes it as "partial 16S ribosomal RNA". It matches the Rfam family "Bacterial small subunit ribosomal RNA", at positions 99 to 334 of the family's 1533-position model. The record is from RNAcentral.
CGGACGGGUGGAGUAAUGUCUGGGAAACUGCCUGAUGGAGGGGGGUAACUACUGGAAACGGUAGCUAAUACCGCAUAACGUCGCAAGACCAAAGAGGGGGACCUUAGGGCCUCUUGCCAUCGGAUGUGCCCAGAUGGGAUUAGCUUGUUGGUGGGGUAACGGCUCACCAAGGCGACGAUCCCUAGCUGGUCUGAGAGGAUGGCCAGCCACACUGGAACUGAGACACGGUCCAG